Molecule: transfer RNA, 85 nt
Filed under: Felis catus (domestic cat)
Lineage: Eukaryota; Metazoa; Chordata; Mammalia; Carnivora; Felidae
Rfam family: tRNA
About the family: Transfer RNA (tRNA) molecules are approximately 80 nucleotides in length.
Source: Rfam by way of RNAcentral
GCCUGGGUGGCUCAGUUGGUUGAGCGUCCGACUUCGGCUCAGGUCAUGGUCUCACAGUUUGUGAGUUCAAGCCACACCUCGGGCU